RNAcentral lists this transfer RNA (74 nucleotides) under Sphaerobolus stellatus SS14. RNAcentral describes it as "tRNA-Asn (GTT) (tRNA-Asn-GTT-8-1)". It matches the Rfam family "tRNA". From Rfam's summary of the family: Transfer RNA (tRNA) molecules are approximately 80 nucleotides in length. Their secondary structure includes four short double-helical elements and three loops (D, anti-codon, and T loops). Further hydrogen bonds mediate the characteristic L-shaped molecular structure. tRNAs have two regions of fundamental functional importance: the anti-codon, which is responsible for specific mRNA codon recognition, and the 3' end, to which the tRNAs corresponding amino acid is attached (by aminoacyl-tRNA synthetases). tRNAs cope with the degeneracy of the genetic code in two manners: having more than one tRNA (with a specific anti-codon) for a particular amino acid; and 'wobble' base-pairing, i.e. permitting non-standard base-pairing at the 3rd anti-codon position. The record is from RNAcentral. Lineage: Eukaryota; Fungi; Basidiomycota; Agaricomycetes; Geastrales; Sphaerobolaceae.
UGCGCCAUGGUUUAGUUGGCUAUAACGUCCGACUGUUAAUCGCAAGGUCGGGAGUUCGAGCCUCUCUGAGGCAG